RNA transcript from Xenopus laevis (African clawed frog), 2581 nucleotides. RefSeq lists it as uncharacterized. NCBI's taxonomy places the organism in Eukaryota, Metazoa, Chordata, Amphibia, Anura, Pipidae. The record is from RefSeq and is a predicted model, not a curated record. The transcript is spliced from 11 exons.
AAAUUGCUACUGGGAAUGUGCUUGUGUUUACACAGUCAGCGAAGAAUCUAAUUCUUAUUUGGAAUGAUUUGAUAUAAUUGACUAUUUUACUAUAACAGGCUAGUUUCUUAUUUGGAAUGAUUUGAUAUAAUUGACUAUUUUACUAUAACAGGCUAGUAUAUGCCAUUAUAUUAGUAGGGGAUGACUAAAAUACAUUUUUAUUAUAUAUUAAUAUGACUGAAGACUGAGGGUGUUCAUUUGAAUGUGUUCUAUAAUAAAGUGUUGGGUCUGCCCUAAAGGGGUGCAUCACCUUCAAGUUAAAUUCAAGUCCCCGUUGCGCAAAGGGUGACGGGCGUGCGCAAAGGGUGACGGGCGUGCGCAAAGCGGGACUGCGCAGGCGUGCGCAAACUAGCUCGGGCAGAACUGGGUCAGCACGCUUUGAUGUCAGAAUGUGGCACCCGCUUAACCGUGUGCACAAACUAGGAAGUGUGCGCAAGCGGGGACUGCGCAGAUGCAACCGUGCGCAAACGAGGGCCUGACUGCGCAAACGAGCGCAGACAGAACUGUGUCAGCACGCUUUAACAUCAAAGAGAGGCACCUGCUUAAGCUUUUUAAGUGAUAGUCUGCUUAUGAGGUACGUGCCUUGCUCCCCCCAAGCUUUGUGCCCUAGGCACGUGCAUCUUCUGCCUACCCCUAGUUCAGAUCUUGUACUUGGCUGUUAUUGCGAUGAGAGCGUAGGAUAAAUACAUGUGACUCCUGAUCAAUACAUGGCUAACACAAAAUAAAAUGUAUUAUUCAAAUUAGAGGGGCCCCUUACAGAAAUGUAAGUAACAAAGUAAGCUCUUGUGCUAAUUACUCCACCAUUUUCAAAUUUCUUAUUCCACCACCACUGUGCCUUUUACAUUCUACAUACUGCUCUCUUCUCCUGUUUUGUCCCCACCCUCCUCCCUUUCCUCAGUAGAACUGUAUUUGAUGGCUUCACGUCACCUUUAGUAGUAAAGACCUUGUGCGGACAUUUUGGUUAUGGGCAUUUCCAGUCUCUUGCUGGCUGUAAUUUCCUGUUCCUUUCUACUUCAUCAUUUCCUGUUCCUGGAAAGCUGAAAGCAUGGUGCCAGCAUGGUCUGUCUGCCAUGUUAGAGAUAAGUGCACGUGGAGUUCCUGUGCUGUCUGCUCUGCUUCAUGUUCAGGAAAUAUGUCACAUUGCACAGAGCCAGUACUACCCUAGCAGUCUAUCAGAGCAGUGACAAAGUGUCGGAUUACUGGACACAGACUGACAUGCAACAGAGCUGCAGUGCAAUCUACUGGGCACACAAUGGCUGCAAAAGGAAGCAGGAUUUUGCCUCUGCACAGUUACUGUGUUAUCUCGCAGAGGUGAUAGUCAGAUUUACAUGGGACAUUUGGAAAUGUUCCUGAGUGUUGUCUCUGGCAGUGAUAUCCAAAAUUGCCUUGGGCAGAAAUGUUCCUGAGUGUUGUCUCUGGCAGCGAUAUCCAAAAUUGCCUUGGGCAGAAAUGGUAUGUGAAACAACAUACAUAUUUUCUCUGUGACCUAUCUGGCAAUGAAAUCCAGAUUUGCUGUUGUAUUCGGAAAUGGUCAUUCAUUCUACUGCAACGCUGAACUGCAUGGAUAAGCUUAUUGUGGCAACCCACUUGAAAAUGUUGCUUUUGAGGUUCCCAAGUGAGCCUUUUGGCGUCGAUAUUUAGAUUUGCUUUGAAUAUUUUGAAAUGGGUGUUCAUUUAACUGAUAACCUAGUGGCAACUCCUUUGAGACCAUUGUUAUUAAGUUCCUGAAUGUUGUCUCUGGCAGGGAUAUCCAAAAUUGCCUUGGGCAUAAAUGUUCCUGAGUGUUGUCUCUGGCAGUGAUGUCCAAAACUGCCUUGGGCAGAAAUGGAGGUAUGCCCUGCAAGAGGAAAAAGCUGCUACAAAGAUUUUGAAAACUUUGCCAUUCUUUGCACCAGUGCCGGGCCAACAGGUGAGGAAGUCCACGGCAAGGGGUCAUCAGCCCGUUUCACUGCACCCUCCACGUGUCCCCCACCAGGCAUUCCCCAGUAGAAAGAAACAAAAUAGAACAUAGGCACACUCCACAUACUGCUUCUGCAAAAAAAUUUUUGAAAAAAGCUUCUUUUAUUUGUGAGAUCCCAGCAAACGUUUCGGGGACAUGCCCCUUCAUCCAGUAGAAAGGCAGAAGUGGUAUGUGUCAAGGUUCCUAGCACCCCUUACCAUCGUGCCCUAGACAUGUGCCUCUUGUGCCUUCCCCUGGCCUUGCUUCUUGCCUUAUUCUGGAUUAUCUGAUAUGGACUGUUCUUACAAAUAAUGAGACAAGACCCCUAGUUGAGGGAAAGAUUAUCAACCCUUUUGUGGCCCUGAAGUAUUUCUAUAGCAGUCAGCCAGCAUUCGGCCAGAUUUCAAGACAGGCCCUUUGAUGGGCCCCAUACAAGCGUUGCUUAAUCAGAACGUUAAAUUUACCUGUGAAUAGCUACUUUUUAGUCCCGUGUCACUGAUUUUGAAGACCAGUAUCCCAAAUCCUUUGUAUCAUGUCAGAUUAUUUUGCUGCUGUAGUAAUGCACCUGCACUUUUUUUUAUUAAAAUAAAUUUGUUUUAAAAA